ACUCCUGCGGGAGGCAGCAGUGGGGAAUUUUGGACAAUGGGCGAAAGCCUGAUCCAGCAAUGCCGCGUGAGUGAAGAAGGCCUUCGGGUUGUAAAGCUCUUUUGUCAGGGAAGAAACGGUGAAAGCUAAUAUCUUUUGCUAAUGACGGUACCUGAAGAAUAAGCACCGGCUAACUACGUGCCAGCAGCCGCGGUAAUACGUAGGGUGCAAGCGUUAAUCGGAAUUACUGGGCGUAAAGCGUGCGCAGGCGGUUUUGUAAGUCUGAUGUGAAAUCCCCGGGCUCAACCUGGGAAUUGCAUUGGAGACUGCAAGGCUAGAAUCUGGCAGAGGGGGGUAGAAUUCCACGUGUAGUAGUGAAAUGCGUAGAUAUGUGGAGGAACACCGAUGGCGAAGGCAGCCCCCUGGGUCAAGAUUGACGCUCAUGCACGAAAGCGUGGGGAGCAAACAGGAUUAGAAACCCGGGUAGUCCCAUG
Molecule: ribosomal RNA, 473 nt
Filed under: uncultured organism
Description: partial 16S ribosomal RNA
Rfam family: Bacterial small subunit ribosomal RNA
Source: RNAcentral